AACGAACGCUGGCGGCAUGCCUAACACAUGCAAGUCGAACGAUACCUUCGGGCCUAGUUGCGCACGGGUGCGUUACGUGUUGUAACCUGCCCUUAGGUUCGCCAUAACUCCCCUAACGGCGUGCUACUACCGUAUAUUCUUUCCGGUCCAAAGAUUUAUCGCCGUUGGAUGGGCCCGCGUUGGAUUAGCUAGUUGGUAGUGUAAAAGCAUACCAAGGCGACGUUCCAUAGCUGGUCUGAGAGGAGGAUCAGCCACACUGGGACUGAGACACGGACCAGACUCCUACGGGAGGCAGCAGUGGGGAAUAUUGGACAAUGGGCGAAAGACUGAGCGAGCAAUGCGGCGUGAGUGAUGAAGGCCUUAGGGUGGUAAAGAUCGUUUACCCGGGAGGAUAAUGACAGUACCGGGAGAAUAAGCUCCAGCAAAAUCAGUA
RNAcentral lists this ribosomal RNA (433 nucleotides) under uncultured bacterium. Its description in RNAcentral is "partial 16S ribosomal RNA". It matches the Rfam family "Bacterial small subunit ribosomal RNA", at positions 29 to 507 of the family's 1533-position model. The record is from RNAcentral.